Molecule: non-coding RNA, 1735 nt
Organism: Callithrix jacchus (white-tufted-ear marmoset)
Lineage: Eukaryota; Metazoa; Chordata; Mammalia; Primates; Cebidae
Source: RefSeq, a predicted model, not a curated record
GCGAAGCCCUACUUUAUCUUGUGAGAGCUGUGUUUCCACAUUCGCUCGAAAAGAAAGACCGCCCACGAGGGCCUGAGUUCGAUGCCCGGCCUCUCCCGACCCGCGGCUGCGACAGCCCCUCUGAGGCGGAAGUUUAUUUAGUAUGGCAAAGAGAACAGCACGGGGUUAAAUUCUGAGAGAGAAGAAAUUCCCAAAAGUUCUAAACAUCACUGGCCACCAGAAAAUAUCUGUGUCAAAAGCGUUUUUCCACAAGCUACAACCUACCACCCUGUUCCUGGGCUCUCUCGUUCUCUUCUCCCAACUGCUUGCCUCUGCUGCUCAUCACUCCCAGUUUGUGAUACUUAAGUAAGUAUAAGUACUCCACUUUUAUUCCACCUCUCCCUCACCAAACUAGGUUUGGGUCCAUCUUUGCUUAUCCCAAGAGUUAAAGACAAGUUCUGCUCAACAAAAGAUUAGGCAAAACAAUCUUUAUGAUCUGUUAUACUGUGUCAAUGCAUUGUUUUCUUUUACAUAGCCUCAGUUAGAUUCUUAACCAUCAGCCAGAGCUAUGGGGACUUGGGUGUGAGGCAAGAAGGAGUCAACUCUUAGACAAUGGAAAAGAUCAAAAUGAAAGUUAAAGUGAGUACAUGAGUGGCCAUUUUAUUGAGAGAUUAGCUAGAUCAAAGUUAAUGAACUUGAAUGCUAUCGCAUUUCCUAAGUUGUGAACAUUCAUGUAGAAACUAGUUUGAAAUUUACUACCAUUUUAUUAUGACUGUAAUAAAAAUAAUAGCCAAAGUGUAAUAUUGCUGAGCACCAGGCCCCAUGCAAAACUCUUUACCUACACCAUUUAAUUUUCAAAUAAACCUUUGAGAUGGAUCCUAUUUUUAUAGUAGGGAGAUCUGUGAAGUUCCAGCAAGGGGUUGAGGCACUCAGAAGGCUUAGCAUAAGCUACUUACCAAAUAGUUUAGAAAUUUUUCUAUCUCUACAAUGUGUACCAAUUGACUGUCAGUCAUGGAAGCAUUCUGAAUAAUUGUUCAUUGUUGCUGCUGUUUCUUAAUUGUUACUGCUGUUUCAUAAUUGUUGCUCUAGCUACUUUUCACUUAUAGGAUCCCAUUUUCCAGGAAGUCAUCCAAAGGGCAGCAUUGUUACUGCCAUGAGCAAGAAAGAGUGACCUUGAGAUAAUCAUUUUACUCAUUUGGGCCUCCGUUUUCUCAUUUGUAAAAUAAAAGGGUUGAACUAGGCUGCCAUAUAAGACAUGCCUUUCACCUUCUGCCGAUUGUGAGGCCUCCCUAGCCACAUGGAACCAUGAGUUCAUUAAGCCUUUUUCUUAUAAAUUAUCCAGUCUCAGUUAUGAAGGCUGAGAAGUCCAGGAUUGAGGGGCCGCAUUGGUGAGGGGAUUCUUGCUGGUGAGGACUCUCUGCAGAGACCUAAGGCUGCAUCAGCAAUCGCAUGCUCAACAACAACUUUUCUGCAAAGCUCUUGAUCCUUCCACAUCUGGCAUGAAAAUAUUCCAAGUUAUCUGUGUUGGCAGAUGGAGCUGUGCUGAACGGAAGCUUUAUCCUGGAUUCGGUCUUCUGUCCCAGCACGAGCACCUGACUCAACUUUGGAAGUGUGGAGAAGGUUAUGGAACUUCAUCCUGCCCUAGUUCACCUCCCCCCACUUCCAGUCCUACCCUCUUAUACUUCUUCUUGGUCCAAAUGGAUUAUCCCCUAAUUUUUCCCCUUAAAGAUAUCAAUAGAACAUUGAUUAUCCAUAC